CGGGGACAACCACUGGAAACGGUGGCUAAUACCGGAUAAGCCUUUGGGUAAAAGAUUUAUUGCCCCAAGAGGAGCUCGCGUCUGAUUAGCUAGUUGGUGAGGUAAGAGCUCACCAAGGCAGCGAUCAGUAGCUAGGUCUGAGAGGACGAUCAGCCACACUGGGACUGAGACACGGCCCAGACUCCUACGGGAGGCAGCAGUGGGGAAUUUUCCGCAAUGGGCGAAAGCCUGACGGAGCAAGACCGCGUAAGGGAGGAAGGCUCUUGGGUUGUAAACCUCUUUUCUCAGGGAAGAAGCUCUGACGGUACCUGAGGAAUCAGCCUCGGCUAAACUCCGUGCCAGCAGCCGCGGUAAUACGGAGGAGGCAAGCGUUAUCCGGAAUUAUUGGGCGUAAAGCGUCCGCAGGUGGCGAUUCAAGUCUGCUGUCAAAGCACGGGGCUUAACUCCGUUAAGGGCGUGGAAACUUGAAUAGCUAGAGUGCCGUAGGGGUAGAGGGAAUACCCGGUGUAGCGGUGAAAUGCGUAGAGAUCGGGAAGAACAUCGGGUGGCGAAAGCGCUCUACUGGACGGCAACUGACACUCAGGGACGAAAGCUAGGGGAGCGA
RNAcentral lists this ribosomal RNA (604 nucleotides) under uncultured organism. Its description in RNAcentral is "bacterial SSU rRNA". It matches the Rfam family "Bacterial small subunit ribosomal RNA", at positions 138 to 771 of the family's 1533-position model. The record is from RNAcentral.